UUUCCGUAGGUGAACCUGCGGAAGGAUCAUUAAAAAAUUGGACUCCAUUGGUGAGUUCAUCAAUAAUCCCUACCCUUUGUGAAUUUGUUUGUUUGAAUAAUUUUUUUUCCAAAAAAAAUUAUUGAAUGUCUUUCCUUGUUUUGGUGGAGCUUGUAAAGUGAAACCAGGCAGGGGAAUGGCAAACAAUAAUUAUUUUUGAAAAAGACCUUUUUUUAAAAUUAAACUUUUUGUAUUCAUUUGUCUAAAAUUAAUUUUUAUAAUAUAAAAACAACUUUUGACAAUGGAUCUCUUGGUUCUCGCAACGAUGAAGAACGCAGCAAAAUGCGAUAAGUAGUGUGAAUUGCAGAAUACGUGAAUCAUCGAAUCUUCGAACGCAUAUUGCACUUUUUUAGUUUACUAAAAAAGUAUGUCUGUUUGAGUAUCAGUAAAAUAUUCUCAUAAAAAACAUUGUUUUUUUUAUGGUUAUGAGUGUUUUACAACGAUAACAAGUUGUUUCACUUUAAAUUCUUUGUAAUCAAAAAAAUCAUUAAAAGCUAAUUUUAAAGAUUUUUUAAAAUUGGAUAAAAUUUUCCCGUAAAAAGGAAUAACCUAAACAAUUUUAAAAAAUUAAAAUUGGUUUGAUUUUUUUUGAAACCCAAAGGAAAAAAAAACGAAAUUAACUUGAUCUCAAAUCAGAUAAGAGUACCCGCUGAACUUAAGCAUAUCAAUAAGCGGAGGAAAAGAAACUAACUAGGAUUCCCUCAGUAACGGCGAGUGAAGCGGGAAGAGCUCAAAUUUGAAAUCUUCAAGGUUUUACCUUGACGAAUUGUAGUUUAAAGAAGUGCUUUCUGUUGGAGUUUUGGUAAAAGUUCUUUGGAAAAGGACAUCAUAGAGGGUGAGAAUCCCGUAUUUGACCAUUAUCUCCAGCUUUGUGAUACACUUUCAAAGAGUCGGAUUGUUUGGGAAUGCAGUCCAAAAUGGGUGGUAAAUUUCAUCUAAAGCUAAAUACUGGCGAGAGACCGAUAGCGAACAAGUACCGUGAGGGAAAGAUGAAAAGAACUUCGAAAAGGGAGUUAAACAGUACGUGAAAUUGUCAAAAGGGAAGCGUUUGACACCAGUGUUGUUUUCUCGAAAAUCAAUUAAAAAAGGCCGGAUUUUGUGUUGUAUUGACUUUAUCAGCUUUCUGCACUCUUUUCUUGUCUUUUUUAAUGCACUUUUCGUUUAACAAGUCAACAUCAAUUUCUUUUGUUGUAAAAGGGUCAUUGGAAGGUGGCUUUCUUUUCGGAGAAAGUGUUUAUAGCCUUUGGCCUCUGCAAUCGGAGAGAUUGAGGUCUGCAGCGUAGAUCCUUCGGGGUUAGAUACAUUUGUGCUAAGUUAUAGCUUUUCAUAGACAACUUGUUGACUAUGAUCAGUCAUGUAGCUUACUCGCUUAUGCUAUUU
Molecule: unclassified non-coding RNA, 1419 nt
Filed under: uncultured Neocallimastigales
Lineage: Eukaryota; Fungi; Neocallimastigomycota; Neocallimastigomycetes; Neocallimastigales
Description: partial contains small subunit ribosomal RNA, internal transcribed spacer 1, 5.8S ribosomal RNA, internal transcribed spacer 2, and large subunit ribosomal RNA
Rfam family: Eukaryotic large subunit ribosomal RNA (bases 662-1419)
Source: RNAcentral